RNAcentral lists this long non-coding RNA (232 nucleotides) under Solanum tuberosum (potato). RNAcentral's name for it is "long non-coding RNA (STUB_LNC007138)". The record is from RNAcentral. Lineage: Eukaryota; Viridiplantae; Streptophyta; Magnoliopsida; Solanales; Solanaceae.
UAAUAUGAUGUAAUCUGCAUAAUUAGUAAUUGAGGAUCAAAUAAUAGAGGUUUGUGGACAAUUGUAAUCAAUUUAAUUAAUUCUAAAUUAUUUAAUUGUAACAAGCCACUAGAAAAAAAUUAUUAUUAUGAACAAAUAAAAUUAAAAUUCAAGCACAUAAUAAAAAAAAAUAGAAUGGCAAAAAAAUACUAACAUGAUGUGGAGAUUCGAGAUGCCAAAUAAUUGAUGAACA